UUGUAGCGCGCAAGAGCAUCGGAGCUCUUUGUACUUUUUUUUAUUUCGCGUAGUGAAUCCUACUACUUUUUGUUUAUUUUGAGAAGUUCGGCUCCAAACUGUGGAAGGUCUUCAGCAACAUUCUCGUGGUAGCCUCGCUCGUGUCUUCCCGCAGCGGGCCUCAUUCUUUGCAUCGCACCGCUGAAUGUGGGCAACCAGAGUGAAAGGGAUGCAGAGAGGUGACUCAAGGGACAGGGUCCCUCAAGUGAUGGGAUGGCCAGUGUAAAAUACAACAGAAGCUUGAAAUCUUGGGCAGGGCUUCUCUAUAAGCGACCUGUUUUCACCUGUGAUCCUAUGCAUAUGUAGGAGUCAGCCCCAUUGAACGCAGGGGGA
Molecule: long non-coding RNA, 372 nt
Organism: Hemicordylus capensis (graceful crag lizard)
Lineage: Eukaryota; Metazoa; Chordata; Lepidosauria; Squamata; Cordylidae
Exons: 3
Source: RefSeq, a predicted model, not a curated record